GAUGAACGCUAGCGGGAGGCUUAAUACAUGCAAGUCGAGCGGCAAGGUCUUCGGACCCUAGAGCGGCGCACGGGUGAGUAACACGUAGGUAACCUGCCCCCCAGUCUGGAACAACUAGAGGAAACUCUAGCUAAUGCCGGAUGAGACCACGAUCCCUUCGGGGGUUGCGGCCAAAGAUGGCCUCUACUUGUAAGCUAUCGCUGAGGGAUGGGCCUGCGGGCCAUUAGCUUGUUGGUGAGGUAACGGCUCACCAAGGCUGUGAUGGCUAGCUGGUCUGAGAGGAUGACCAGCCACACUGGGACUGAGACACGGCCCAGACUCCUACGGGAGGCAGCAGUGGGGAAUAUUGCGCAAUGGGCGAAAGCCUGACGCAGCGACGCCGCGUGGGUGAUGAAGGCC
This 399-nucleotide ribosomal RNA is filed under the name uncultured bacterium. Its description in RNAcentral is "bacterial SSU rRNA". It matches the Rfam family "Bacterial small subunit ribosomal RNA", at positions 28 to 416 of the family's 1533-position model. The record is from RNAcentral.